AACGGGUGAGUAAUACAUGGGUGAUCUACCUUAGGGAUGGGGAUAUCCUUCCGAAAGGAGGGGCAAUACCGAAUAUUGUCCGGAGCCGUGUAGGGUUCCGGGGAAAGGGAGGCCUCUGAUACAAGCUUUCGCCUUAAGAUGAGCCCAUGGCCCAUCAGCUAGUUGGUAGGGUAAAGGCCUACCAAGGCUACGACGGGUCGCUGGUCUGAGAGGACGACCAGCCACACUGGCACUGAGAUACGGGCCAGACUCCUACGGGAGGCAGCAGUGAGGAAUAUUGCGCAAUGGGGGAAACCCUGACGCAGCAACGCCGCGUGUGGGAAGAAGGCCUUCGGGUCGUAAACCACUUUUGCACGGGACGAAAAAGGGAUAUCGAACAAUUAUCCCCGAUGACGGUACCGUGAGAAUAAGCCACGGCUAACUCUGUGCCAGCCGCCGCGGUAAUUCAAGGGC
This 453-nucleotide ribosomal RNA is filed under the name uncultured Leptospirillum sp. RNAcentral's name for it is "bacterial SSU rRNA". It matches the Rfam family "Bacterial small subunit ribosomal RNA", at positions 101 to 532 of the family's 1533-position model. The record is from RNAcentral. Lineage: Bacteria; Pseudomonadati; Nitrospirota; Nitrospiria; Nitrospirales; Nitrospiraceae.